AGAAAGAGAAAGAAAGAAAGGAAGGAAGGGAGGGAGAGAGGAAGAAAGGGAGGAAGGAAGAGAAGGAAGUGAAACUGAGACCCCCUAAAACUGAGUUCCCUUGCUGAUUACUCUCUCUAUCCAAAACUUUAUUUACGUUCUUGUCCUGCUCCUAUUCCUUUCAGGAUUGAGAAGUAUUAAAGAAAAAGGGAGAUUGAAACCAAACAGGACCCUGUGGGGCCUUCCCAGGUACCAAAGUCCCUCCAUUUCCCUUGUUUCUUGUUUGUAGUAAACACAAGUAUUGGUCUCCUAGGCCUUCUUUGAAUUCCAAAGAGCAGCCUCAAGCAGUUAAUGAUUAGGUCUAUAGUCCCCAGCUUCCUAGUUCCCCUGAUGAGAUAUACAUAACAAUUUGGCACAUAUCUUUGAGUUGUUCUGCAGAAAAUAUACCUCCCAACCCAGGUGGAGGCUGAUGUCUACAUGCUGACCACAAUCAUGCACACUCCAGACUGGUUGAAACCAGAAAGUUCAGAUUCCCAAAACAUCAUCCUGUUAUGUCACCACCAACCAUUCAGAGGAAGGUCCAUGGUAUGAUCACACAUUCUACAAACCUCACACCUAACACUGUCUUUAAAAACCCCUGCCUGAAAGCCAUUGGGGAAUUUGGGUCUUUUGAAUAUGAGUGGUCCAUUCUCCAUGCUUGGCUCCCUGCAAGUAAACCCUUACUUUGCUGCAAACACCCCUUAUCAGAGUUUGGGUUUCUGUGCUAUGGAAACUGAUGGGAUUUUAAAUGGAAAAAAAUGGAUAUAUUUGAGAUGGGUUGUGAAGCUAGAGAUGGUGGGGCUUUCUGAUGGAUUAAAUGUGAUGAAUGAUGGAAAUGGAGGGGUCACAAAGAUUCUGAGGCUUAUGGGUUGAGCAGUGAAAUGAGAAAUGAAGACAUUUACUAAGUCUGUGAAGGUAUGGGGAACAAGUUUGAACUGGAAAUUCAAUUUAGGGCUCAUGAAGCUGGUGAGUCAUUCAAUGGACAUUGGUACCAAAGUUGGUUAUGAGUGUCUGGGGUUGAGAGGAGACAGCCAUACUGGAGAUUAUCAAUUUGAGAAUCAUCAAAAUAUAGGUGAUACUUAAAACUAUCGGAUGAACUCACAUAAGGAAAUAUCCAGCGAGAAAAGAGAACGUGGCCCUGGAGUGACUGAGGAACACCAACAAGAGAGUUGAGAAAGAAAGAUAUAGCCUUUUGUGAAAAAGAGUAGGUGGUGAGGUAAGAGGAAAGGCAAGAAUGUGUUGUGUCAGGAAGUCAAGAGGUUAUUUCAAGAAAGAGAAGGCUAGCCUCCCCUAGAAUGUUACUGAGAGGUAAGAUAAGGACAGACAAAAGUUCUUUGACAAUAGACAGAAUGACAAUGACAUUGACAAAAAUAGUCUUAAAUGUAAGUGAAAGCCAGACUGGAGCCUGUCAAAGAUGUUGCCAAAGCCAAGUUGAUGUGCCCAAUGAACAGUGAGGCCAAACAAACCUUUAUAUUGGAGUUUGGAGGACAUAGAAGGGAUUUGUACCUAGGAGGAACCUACAGGCUCCUGCUUGGUUUCAAUCGGUGAUAUGAAUUUAAAGAGAAAUAAGUAAGUUUACAUAUAUGAUUUUUCAAAUGCCAGUGCAUAUAUGAGGAAGGCAGAUUAACAAUCAGGGUUUUGACAAGAGAGUAGUAUGUCAGGAUAAAAAAAUAACAGAGCUCAGGGUCUUUGAGAAGAGUGUGAUUAUGAUGAUGGACAAUGAUCAAGGCUAAAUGUGUAUCCAGCCUAGGGCUGAGGCAGAUAGGGGUUGAUUGUUAGUGAAAAAGUGGUGGAAUCAGGGUAGUAGAGGUCUUGGUGAAGGUUUUUAGCUGUGGGAAUACAUAAACAAGAGAUCUGGUGGCUAGAAAGUGUGAUAUUGAAACAUUGUUAAUAUAAAGAGCUUAGAAGUGAUGUAGUUUCUAGUGCUGAUGAGGUCUAGGAUGGGACCAUGGAGAUGGGUGGCUGAUUGGAUGGAGAGACAUGUCACUGGUGAUAAAGAGGUGAAGGAACUGUAAGAUUUCCUGUUGCUUUCAGGAUGAAGCUUAAAUUCUUUGGUAGAACACACUGAGAUCUUUGUGAAAUGAUCCCUACUCAAUUCUCAAUCCAACCAUCUCCCCACUCCAGACUUUGCUCGGUACAUCUUGCUCUUCACACUCUUGCUAUUGUCUGUUCCUUCUCUCGGCAGAAUGAACCUCAUUGUACCCCACUUCCCAGCCUCAGCUCUACACAUCUUUAAAAUUCCCUACAUAUUAUUUCCUACAUAGUAUUAUCCUAAACAUAGAGUUCUGCAUAAGACAUUCCUGUUUUUGCUUUCAGAUAGACCCUGGACUUCCUGUUUUUAUAGUUACAAGUGUGUUUCCACCCUUGUCUGUAUGAUAGUGAUUGUUAAUAUUUCUUUAGACUUACUCAUGGCAUAGUACAUGCUCAAAUUUCGUCACUAUUCCAUUUGUGUUUUGACAAAAUGUUGGAUGCAUAGUUCUGUGCAUUCAUUCAUUAUUCAUUUGUUCAGUCAUUCAUUCUUUCAUUUAACAAGUAUCUACUAAGGGUGUGCAAUGUACCGGCAAUGCUUUGAAGUGCCUGAGAUACAUCAGUGAACAAAAAAGACAGAAAUCUUUGCCCUCUAAGCUUACAUUCCAGUGGAGGAAGACAGAUGAUAAAUCAUGGGUAUAAUAUGUUAGUAAAUUAGAGAUAUGUAAGAAUCUGAUAAAGACUAUGGGAAAAAGUAAUACAGGAGGAUUGCAGGUGAUUUUUGCAAUUGUAAAUAAAGGGGUCAUAGAAGGCUUCCCUGAGAAGAUGACAUUUGAGCAAAGAGCUGAAGAAGGUAAGGAAAUUAGUCAUGUAAGUAUCUGAGGUAAGAGCGUUUGAGGCAGCUAGAAAAGGAAUGCAAAGGAUCUGAAACAGGAAGACAGAGUACAUAGACAGAUGCUGGGAGGUAGGAGCUUGUGCAGCACGUUCAAAGGACAGCAAGAAGGCAGUGUGACUGGAGCAGUGUAAACAACAAAAAGAAUAGUGACAGGUGGGGUCAGAUAACAAGAAGUACUUCAUUAUAGGGUCUUUGGCUUUUACUCUGAGUGACAGGGGAACAGGAAAGUGGUAUAAUAUGAUUUACAUUGUCAAAGGGUCACUGUGGCCAUUGUGUUGAGAAUAGACAAAAAGGGGAAGGAUAGAUGCAGGAGAGUGAGGAGGUUACUGUAACAAUCCUCAGAGGAGAAAACAGUGGCUUGGUCUAUGGUUGUAGCAUGGUCAUGGAGACAAGUGCUUGAAAUCUGGAUAUAUUUUAAAGAUUGAGCCAGGUGGUUUUCCUGGCAGAAUAAAGGUGGUACGACAGAGAGGAUAGGGAUGAUUCCAUGGUUUUUGCCUUGGCGCAGAGACAGAUUUUUUUUUUUGUUUUGUUUUGUUUUUUUGCUUUUAAAGGCCCCACCUGUGGCAUAUGGAAGUUCUGGGCUGGGGUCGAACUGGAGCUGCAGCUGUCAAGCUACACCACAGCCACAUCAAUGCCAGAUAUGAGCUGUGUCUUUGACCUACACCAUAGCUCAUGGCAAUGCCAGAUCCUUAACUCAUGGAGUGGGGCCAGGGAUCCCACAUCCUCAUGGAUACUAGUUGGAUUCGUUCUCUCUGUGCCACAAUAGGACUCCAGGGUGAGUUAGAUUCUUGGAGGAAGGUCACAAGUUAAGUUUUAUUUUUUUUUAUUAUAAUUUGUAUUUAUUUGUCUUUCAUAUUUUAAAGUGUUAUUAAAGUGUAGUUGAUUUACAGGGUUGUGAUAAUUGCUGCUGUACAAAAAGCAACUCAGAUAUACAUGUUCACACAUCCAUUCUCUUUCGGAUUCUUUUCCCACAUAGAUUAUCACACAACAUUGGGUAGAGUACUCUGCACUAUAUAACAGGUCCCUGUUGGCCCAUCGUUCCAUAUACCUCAGUGUGCAUAUGCCAAUCCCAAGCCCCCAAUCCAUCCUUCCCCCUUCCACCUGUCCCUUUUGGUAACCAUAAGUUUUUCAAAGUCUGAGUCUGUUUCUGUUCUUCAAAUAUGUUUAUUUGUAACCUUUUUUUUUAAAGAUUCCACAUAUAAGUGAUAUAUCUUGCGGUGUGUGUCUUUCACUGUUUAACUAACUUCACUCAUUAUGAUAAUUUCUAGGUCCAUCCAUGCUGUUGCAAAUGGUGUUGUUUCAUUCUUUUUGAUGGCUGAGUAAUAUUCCAUUGUAUAUAUUUACCACAUUUUCUUAAUACAUUCAUCUGUUGAUGGACAUUUAGAUUGCUUCUAUAUCUUGGCUAUUAUAAAUAGUAGUUAAAUGAACAGUGGGCUUCAUGUAUCUUUCUGAAUUAUGGUUUUCUUCAGAUAGAUGCCCAGUCGUGGGAUUGCUGGAUCUAGUUCUAUUUUUAGUUUUUUGAGGAACCUCCAUACCGUUUUUCAUAGUGCUUGCACCAAUUUAAACAUCUUGAGUUUGUGAUGUGGAGAUGUUCAGUGUGUAAUUGCAUACACAAACUUAAAUUUUAGGAGCUAGGCCUGGCUUGGAUAGGAACACUGGGGAGUCAUUAGUAUAUAGACAGUACUUAAACCCUGAUGGGAUGAGGUUGCCAAGGGAAGAGGAGAGGACCAAAGGUUGAGCCAUGAGACUCUCCAAUGUUAAGAUGUCUGAGAGGAGAAGAGGAAUCAGUAAAAGAGACUGAGAAGGACCAAAUUUGAGGUGAGAGGAAAGCCAAUGGAUAGGUGUCUAGAAGUAAAUGGAAAAAGUGAAUCAAUAAGGAGAGAGUGGUCUCAACGGGAUCAGUGCCAACAAGAGCACAGUAAGAUGGGAACUCAGAAAAGACCACUGGAUUUAGCAAUGGAGACCUUGGCAAGAACAGUGUCUGUGGACUGAUGAGUCAGAAAGCUGCACAAGAGUCAAGAGUAUCAGAGGAUAGGUAUUGGGAGGCUGUAAUUACUAGCAAAUGGGAGCAGAGACAGGGGCAGUAUUUUCAGGAGAAAUAGAGUCAUGCUAAAGGCAAUCCAAAUAGAAUUAUCCAGAACCAAAAAGGGAAAUGAACAAAACAGUGGUUUUCUGGGACAUUGUAAUAUCUGGAGACAUGUUUGAUAGUCAUGAUUGGGGUUGUACUGGUGGCAUCUUGUGGGUAGAGGCCCGGGAUACUGCUGAACAUCCUAUAGUCCAUAGGACAGCUCCCACAGCAAAGAGUUAUCUGCCUCAAACAACAAUAAUGCCAAGAUUGAGAAACUACUCCAGAUAAAGACGAUUCUGCAUAGACACACAAAACUUUGAACACAGUUCGAAUAAAAACACAUCUGCAUAUAUACAGAAAAUUUUGAACACAGUUUCAGGGGUUUCAGAGACUUCUUGAAGCCUAUUGAUAGAUCAAUCUGGGUCAACCGAUUUCAAGUCCAAACCCUCUGCUGGGUGCUCCCGGAUGGUUCAGCAGGUUGGGGAUCUGGUAUUAUCACUGCUGUAGCUCUGGUCACUUGUGUGGUGCGGAUUCAGUCUCUGGCCUGGGAACUUCUGCAUGCAAAGGGCAUGGCAAAAAAAAAAAAAAAAAAAAAAAAAAGAGAGAGAACCUUCUGCUGGAAGUUUCUAUGUAGUCCCGUAUCAGGAAGCAAGGUAGACUUCUCUUAAGCUUUAUUUCAAGCAACUGAAUUAAAUUAAAUUUUAGAACAGAAUCAAUAAUAUGUUUAAUGGUUUACAUUCUUUGAAAUAAAGCAUGCAUUUUUACAAAAACUUUCCACUUUAUUUUUAAAUCAAUGUAUAUUUUAAGCCAAGCAUGAUACAGAUGUUUUUGAUUCAUAGACUAAUACGUCAAGAUGUUUUGUAUGGGUCAUUUAAUAUUCGCAAACUUGCAUGAGCUUCUCUUUUUCGUAAGUCCCCAAAAGGUCAUUUAAUUUUUAAAGGUAGGAGGUCAUAUUUUUCCAUUAGGAAAUUUACUAACAUGGACUCAAAUCAUGUUCAAACACACAGUCCCAUUUGGAUUUGGAAAAAACAAAUCAUCUCUUCUUUAUUUUAUCAUGCUUAUGCAAUAUGCAAGUGCUUGGGGAAUGACUUAAGUAAUGGCUAAAUGGAUCUUUGUUCUACUAUAUCGCCAAUAAAGUUUAGGCUU
This 6095-nucleotide long non-coding RNA is filed under the name Sus scrofa (pig). RNAcentral's name for it is "lncRNA (ENSSSCG00030069466.1)". Lineage: Eukaryota; Metazoa; Chordata; Mammalia; Artiodactyla; Suidae. The record is from RNAcentral.